This 2993-nucleotide ribosomal RNA is filed under the name Chloroflexota bacterium. RNAcentral's name for it is "Chloroflexi bacterium 23S ribosomal RNA". It matches the Rfam family "Bacterial large subunit ribosomal RNA". Lineage: Bacteria; Bacillati; Chloroflexota. The record is from RNAcentral.
GGUCAAGUUAUUAAGGGCCCACGGAGGAUGCCUUGGCGUCAAGGGCCGAUGAAGGGCGUAGCACGACUGCGAUAAGCCUCGGGUAGCCGUCAAGCAGGCUUAGCCGGGGAUUCCCGAAUCGGGGAACCGGUCUCGGUGAAGCCGGGACAUCCUCAGCUGAACACAUAGGCUGAGGGGGGUAAGCAGGGGAACUGAAACAUCUCAUUACCCUGAGGAAAAGAAAGCAACCGCGAUUCCCUGAGUAGUGGUGAGCGAAACGGGAACAGCCUAAACCGAUGUUGUUUAGUGGCCUGGGGGCCUAUACGUCAUCGGGGUUGUACGGCGUGUCAGCACGAACCCCAGAUAGUGCACGGAGUUAGCAAUCCAUGGUCUAGCCGAAGGAGCCUGGAAAGGACCGCCAUAGCGGGUGAUAGCCCCGUAGGCGAAAGGCUAUGGACUCCGGAUGCGUUCGUGAGUACCACGGGACACGUGGAAUCCCGUGGGAAGCCGGGGGGACCACCCUCCAAGGCUAAAUACCCUUGACGACCGAUAGCGCACAAGUACCGUGAGGGAAAGGUGAAAAGAACCCCAGAAGGGGAGUGAAAUAGACCUGAAACCGUGGGCCUACAAGCGGUCGGAGUCCGUCUUCGGACGGAUGACGGCGUGCCUAUUGAAGAAUGAGCCGGCGAGUUACUCCUGUGUGGCGAGGUUAAGGGAUGCAGACGUCCCGGAGCCGCAGCGAAAGCGAGUCUGAAUAGGGCGAAGCAGUCGCACGGGGUAGACCCGAAACCGGGUGAGCUACCCAUGGCCAGGGUGAAGCCUCGAUAGUCUCGAGGUGGAGGCCCGAACCCGUAUACGUUGCAAAGUGUUGGGAUGAGCUGUGGGUAGAGGUGAAAUGCCAACCGAACCCGGAGAUAGCUGGUUCUCCCCGAAAUGCAUUGAGGUGCAGCCUUCAGGAAGAGGGACGGAGGUAGGGCUCUGAAUGGGCUAGGGGGUGUGAGCCUACCAAACCCAAUCAAACUUCGAAUGCCGUUCCAUCCAUGCCUGAGGAGUGAGACCGUGGGGGAUAAGCUCCAUGGUCGAGAGGGAAACAGCCCAGACCACCGACUAAGGCCCCUAAAUACAGGCUCAGUGUCAAAGGAAGUAUGGUCGCUUAGACAACCAGGAGGUUGGCUUAGAAGCAGCCACCCUUUAAAGAGUGCGUAAUAGCUCACUGGUCAAGGGACCGUGCGCCGACAAUUUAUCGGGGCUUAAGCCUGUUGCCGAAGUCGUGGCUUCUGCCGUAAGGCGGAGGGGUAGGGGAGCGUUCUCUGUGCACAGAAGUCUGCCUGUGAGGGCAGGUGGAGCGCAGAGAAGUGCGAAUGCCGGCAUGAGUAGCGUAAAGAUGCGUGAGAACCGCAUCCGCCGAAAGUCCGAGGUUUCCUACGCAACGUCGUUCGUCGUAGGGUUAGCCGGACCUAAGCCGAGGCCGCAAGGCGUAGGCGAUGGAGAGCUGGUCAAUAUUCCAGCGCCACCCAUGGAUCGUUUUAAGGCUAAGGAGGGACACGGGAAGCUAGACAGAGCGUGCCUAUUGGACAUGGUGCGUCUGAGCCUGUAGGUGAGCCCGCGGUAGGAAAAUCCGUCGCGGGGUUUGAGCUGAGGGGUAAAGCAACUUCAGGGCCUGGCCCUGGGGAAGUCUGUUGAGGCUACACCGGCAAGAAAAGCUUCGUAGCUAGAGUCAUGGGUGUCCGUACCGCAAACCGACACUGGUGGACUGGUAUAAGAGUACCGAGGCGGACGAGAGAACCAUCCUUAAGGAACUCGGCAAUCUGACUCCGUAACUUUGGGAGAAGGAGUGCCCUGGAGGGUGAAAUCCCUAGCGGAUGGAGCACCUUCGGGGUCGCAGCGAAGAGGCCCUGGUGACUGUUUAACAAAAACACAGGUCCCUGCUCAAGUCGCAAGACGACGUAUAGGGGCUGACGCCUGCCCAGUGCCGGAAGGUCAAGAGGCGCGGUGAGAGCUGCAAAUCGAAGCCCCGGUGAACGGCGGCCGUAACUAUAACGGUCCUAAGGUACCGAAAUCCCUUGUCAGGUAAGUUCUGACCCGCAGGAAAGGCGUAACAACUGGGGCGCUGUCUCAAGGAUGGUCUCGGUGAAAUUGAAGUACGAGUGAAGAUGCUCGUUACCCGCAGCAGGACAAAAAGACCCCGUGGAGCUUUACUGCAACCUGACAUUGAUCCGAGGAUACGGUUGUGUAGGAUAGGUGGGAGGCUAUGAAGCCAGGACGCCAGUUCGGGUGGAGCCAUCGUUGAAAUACCACUCUUCCCUGUUUUUGGAUCUAACCCCUGAACAAGCAGGGGGACCGUGUCUGGCAGGCAGUUUGACUGGGGCGGUCGCCUCCUAAAAGGUAACGGAGGCGUGCAAAGGUCCCCUCAGGGUGGAUGGAAAUCACCCGCAGAGCGCAUUGGUAGAAGGGGGCUUGACUGCGAGGCCAACAAGCCAAGCAGGGACGAAAGUCGGCCAAAGUGAUCCUACGGUCCCGUGUGGAAGGGCCGUGGCUUAUCGGACAAAAGCUACCCCGGGGAUAACAGGCUUAUCUUGCCCAAGAGUUCAUAUCGACGGCAAGGUUUGGCACCUCGAUGUCGGCUCGUCGCAUCCUGGGGCUGAAGAAGGUCCCAAGGGUCCGGCUGUUCGCCGGUUAAAGCGGCACGUGAGCUGGGUUCAGACCGUCGUGAGACAGGUCGGUCUCUAUCCGCUGUGGGCGCAGGAAGUUUGAGAGGAGCUUUCCCUAGUACGAGAGGACCGGGAAGGACGUACCUCUGGUGUUCCGGUUGUCCCGCCAGGGGCACUGCCGGGUAGCUAUGUACGGAACGGAUAAGCGCUGAAAGCAUCUAAGUGCGAAGCCGGCCUCAAGAUGAGACUUCCCACCCCGAGAGGGGGUAAGGCCGCAGAGAGACUAUCUGCUCGAUAGGCCGCAGGUGUAAGCGCAGCAAUGCGUUCAGCUGAGCGGUACUAAUCGGCCGAGGACUUGACCAC